This 395-nucleotide ribosomal RNA is filed under the name uncultured bacterium. RNAcentral's name for it is "bacterial SSU rRNA". It matches the Rfam family "Bacterial small subunit ribosomal RNA", at positions 30 to 429 of the family's 1533-position model. The record is from RNAcentral.
AUUGAACGCUGGCGGCAUGCCUUACACAUGCAAGUCGAACGGCAGCGGGCCUUCGGGUGCCGGCGAGUGGCGAACGGGUGAGUAAUGCAUCGGAACGUGCCAUUGAGUGGGGGAUAACGUAGCGAAAGUUACGCUAAUACCGCAUAUUCUGUGAGCAGGAAAGCAGGGGACCGCAAGGCCUUGCGCUCUUUGAGCGGCCGAUGUCAGAUUAGCUAGUUGGUGAGGUAAAGGCUUACCAAGGCGACGAUCUGUAGCGGGUCUGAGAGGAUGAUCCGCCACACUGGAACUGAGACACGGUCCAGCCUCCUACGGGAGGCAGCAGUGGGGAAUUUUGGACAAUGGGCGCAAGCCUGAUCCAGCCAUGCCGCGUGAGUGAAGAAGGCCUCGGUUGUAAG